Molecule: transfer RNA, 73 nt
Filed under: Candidatus Woesearchaeota archaeon
Lineage: Archaea; Nanobdellati; Candidatus Woesearchaeota
Description: tRNA-Tyr
Rfam family: tRNA
About the family: Transfer RNA (tRNA) molecules are approximately 80 nucleotides in length. Their secondary structure includes four short double-helical elements and three loops (D, anti-codon, and T loops).
Source: RNAcentral
CCCUUCAUAGUUUAGUGGCUAGAACGUCCGGCUGUAGACCGGAAGAUCCCCGGUUCAAAUCCGGGUGAGGGGA